ACCUUCACCUUCGUUGGCGGUUCCUUUGCGUUCUGGCGGCUGCUGCUUCCUGCGGGUUGCGGGCCCCAAGGGGGCGCUGCUGUCACCCAGGGUGGGGGGAUGGCGGGCGCGGGUU
Equus caballus (horse) is the source of this 115-nucleotide microRNA precursor. Lineage: Eukaryota; Metazoa; Chordata; Mammalia; Perissodactyla; Equidae. The record is from Ensembl.